Molecule: unclassified non-coding RNA, 275 nt
Filed under: Trichoderma lixii
Lineage: Eukaryota; Fungi; Ascomycota; Sordariomycetes; Hypocreales; Hypocreaceae
Also listed under: 1 other name
Description: partial internal transcribed spacer region
Rfam family: Eukaryotic small subunit ribosomal RNA (bases 1-46)
Source: RNAcentral
AAGUCGUAACAAGGUCUCCGUUGGUGAACCAGCGGAGGGAUCAUUACCGAGUUUACAACUCCCAAACCCAAUGUGAACGUUACCAAACUGUUGCCUCGGCGGGAUCUCUGCCCCGGGUGCGUCGCAGCCCCGGACCAAGGCGCCCGCCGGAGGACCAACCAAAACUCUUUUUGUAUACCCCCUCGCGGGUUUUUUAUAAUCUGAGCCUUCUCGGCGCCUCUCGUAGGCGUUUCGAAAAUGAAUCAAAACUUUCAACAACGGAUCUCUUGGUUCUG